AAGCGGAGGAAAAGAAACCAACCGGGAUUGCCUCAGUAACGGCGAGUGAAGCGGCAAGAGCUCAAAUUUGAAAUCUGGCCCCUCCGGGGUCCGAGUUGUAAUUUGCAGAGGAUGCUUCGGGAGCGGUCCCCGUCUAAGUGCCCUGGAACGGGCCGUCAUAGAGGGUGAGAAUCCCGUCUGGGAUGGGCGGCCGCGCCCGUGUGAAGCGCCUUCGACGAGUCGAGUUGUUUGGGAAUGCAGCUCUAAGUGGGUGGUAAAUUUCAUCUAAAGCUAAAUACUGGCCGGAGACCGAUAGCGCACAAGUAGAGUGAUCGAAAGAUGAAAAGCACUUUGAAAAGAGAGUUAAACAGCACGUGAAAUUGUUGAAAGGGAAGCGUUGUCCACCAGACUCGCCCGGGGGGGUUCAGCCGGCACUCGUGCCGGUGUACUCUCCCCCGGGCGGGCCAGCAUCGGUUUGGGCGGCUGGUGAAAGGCCCCGGGAAUGUAACACCCUCCGGGGUGCCUUAUAGCCCGGGGUGUCAUGCGGCCAGCCUGGACCGAGGCCCGCGCUUCGGCGAGGAUGCUGGCGUAAUGGUGGUCAACGGCCCGUCUUG
RNAcentral lists this ribosomal RNA (593 nucleotides) under Talaromyces helicus var. helicus. RNAcentral describes it as "eukaryotic LSU rRNA". It matches the Rfam family "Eukaryotic large subunit ribosomal RNA", at positions 48 to 656 of the family's 3401-position model. The record is from RNAcentral. Lineage: Eukaryota; Fungi; Ascomycota; Eurotiomycetes; Eurotiales; Trichocomaceae.